GAUGAACGCUGGCGGCGUGCCUAAUACAUGCGAGUCGAGCGAACGGACGAGAAGCUUGCUUCUCUGAUGUUAGCGGCGGACGGGUGAGUAACACGUGGAUAACCUACCUAUAAGACUGGGAUAACUUCGGGAAACCGGAGCUAAUACCGGAUAAUAUUUUGAACCGCAUGGUUCAAAAGUGAAAGACGGUCUUGCUGUCACUUAUAGAUGGAUCCGCGCUGCAUUAGCUAGUUGGUAAGGUAACGGCGUACCAAGGCAACGGUGCAUAGCCGACCUGAGAGGGUGAUCGGCCACACUGGAACGGAGACACGGUCCAGACUCCUACGGGAGGCAGCAGUAGCGAAUCUUGCGCAAUGGGCGGAAGCCUGACGGAGCAACGCCGCGUGAGUGAUGAAGGUCUCCGGAUCGUAAAACUCUGUUAUUAGGGAAGAACAUAUGUGUAAGUAACUGUGCACAUCUUGACGGUACCUAAUCAGAAAGCCACGGCUAACUACGUG
This 497-nucleotide ribosomal RNA is filed under the name uncultured bacterium. RNAcentral's name for it is "partial 16S ribosomal RNA". It matches the Rfam family "Bacterial small subunit ribosomal RNA", at positions 28 to 507 of the family's 1533-position model. The record is from RNAcentral.